UUCUGCCAAGAUCAUCAUCUUCAAGGGAAAUUAAAUUUAACUUCUAUUUUUUUUCCUACAGAGAAAAAAUGUUUUGUAUGAAGAGACACCCCCGCCUCCCUCCCCCAAGAAGGAAGUUUCGUUCAGUGCUGAAUCCCAAUGAACGUUUCUUGACUUAAACCCCUUCUGAACACGUCAAACAAAACCAGCGUGCUUGAGAAGGGAGGAAUGCAAAGGAAGAAAAAGGGAGGUAAGCAAUGCUACAAAUAGAUUUCGUUUACUGUCUAAUGCUUUUAACAUACUUCUGAUCUAUAAAAAGCUCAACUACAUUUUUUCAGAACAGUUCACUUUUUUAAAGAAACUAAAAGAGACGGAUUGAAUUAUUUCACUCUUCUUGGGGAUUAAUCUAAAAGUUGUUUCCUCUUCAUUGUUACUCGCACUACAGCUGUGCUCAAACUCCUUUUCAUUUAGAAAAAAAAGUUUACAUUUUGAGCCUGCGCACACCAUGGUUCCACAUUCCAACAGCUUCCUCCCAGUCCUCUGCCAGCAUCUGCUAUUGAAGACUAGUUCCAAUUUACAAUAAACAGCUUUUCCAGACCAGAACACUUGAAAUUCAGUCCUUCUUGACUGCUUUUCCCAUUCAAUCUCCCUAUUCACCAUUUCAAGGAGAAAACUGUUCUGCCAAUUAUUACACAUCUGGAAAAAAUGCAUGUAUAAGCUGAAAUGCUCUCAGCAGAAAGUUUCAGCUUUCUGCAUAUGGUCACAGCAGGAUUUUAUGGGCCACUGACCAGGCCCAAGUUUAAGUUUUCCCAUCUUUCUCCUCCCUCUCAUUUCUACCCCCACCCUAACCCUCUAAUUGGAAACCCAUAGCAGGUGCAAGCUGUCUGCCACUUUUUCCUCCGCAGGAACCUCAAGUAGUUUCUUCCUGAUAAAUGUUGGCCUUACACUCCAGUUGUAACUCACUAGGCUCUGCGCUAAGUCAAAUGCAUCAGCUGAAGCUGUUAUACAUAAAAAUACACAUUUAAAAAUACCA
This is a long non-coding RNA of Pezoporus flaviventris, 1012 nucleotides long. RefSeq lists it as uncharacterized. The transcript has 2 exons. The record is from RefSeq and is a predicted model, not a curated record. Lineage: Eukaryota; Metazoa; Chordata; Aves; Psittaciformes; Psittacidae.